Molecule: non-coding RNA, 108 nt
Filed under: Escherichia coli
Lineage: Bacteria; Pseudomonadati; Pseudomonadota; Gammaproteobacteria; Enterobacterales; Enterobacteriaceae
Description: antisense sRNA RprA
Rfam family: RprA RNA
About the family: Translational regulation of the stationary phase sigma factor RpoS is mediated by the formation of a double-stranded RNA stem-loop structure in the upstream region of the rpoS messenger RNA, occluding the translation initiation site.
Source: RNAcentral
ACGGUUAUAAAGCAACAUAUUGAUUUAUAAGCAUGGAAAUCCCCUGAGUGAAACAACGAAUUGCUGUGUGUAGUCUUUGCCCAUCUCCCACGAUGGGCUUUUUUUUAA